Molecule: ribosomal RNA, 460 nt
Filed under: uncultured bacterium
Lineage: Bacteria
Description: partial 16S ribosomal RNA
Rfam family: Bacterial small subunit ribosomal RNA
Source: RNAcentral
CCUACGGGAGGCAGCAGUGAGGAAUAUUGGUCAAUGGGCGCGAGCCUGAACCAGCCAAGUAGCGUGAAGGAUGACUGCCCUACGGGUUGUAAACUUCUUUUAUAAAGGAAUAAAGUGAGGCCCGUGUGCCUUUUUGUAGGGACUUUAUGAAUAAGGAUCGGCUAACUCCGUGCCAGCAGCUGCGGUAAUACGGAGGAUCCGAGCGUUAUCCGGAUUUAUUGGGUUUAAGGGGAGCGUAGAUGGGUUGUUAAGUAAGUUGUGAAAGUUUGCGGCUCAACCGUAAAAUUGCAAUUGAUACUGGCAGCCUUGAGUACAGUUGAGGUAGGCGGAAUUCGUGGUGUAGCGGUGAAAUGCUUAGAUAUCACGAAGAACUCCGAUUGCGAAGGCAGCUUACUAAACUGCCACUGACAUUGAUGCUCGAAAGUGUGGGUAUCAAACAGGAUUAGAUACCCCGGUAGUC